This 477-nucleotide long non-coding RNA is filed under the name Oryza sativa (Asian cultivated rice). RNAcentral's name for it is "long non-coding RNA (OSAT_LNC001898)". Lineage: Eukaryota; Viridiplantae; Streptophyta; Magnoliopsida; Poales; Poaceae. The record is from RNAcentral.
UUGCCUUCAUUGUCCUUGUGAUCAGCACUGAAAGCAGUAUGGACAUCCUUGAGGUUGUUUGAUUCAUUUGGCUGUGAUAGCAUCACUGCUGGUUUGUACCCCUUCUUGAACCAUGGAUGCUCAACUAGCUUCUCAACGGUGAUCCUAAUGUUUGGAUUUGGAUCAAGCAGCCUGGACAGAAGCCUUCGGACAUCAGUAGUGAACCACUGUGGGAACUUGACAUCACCUUUGCUUAUCUUCCGGUACAUCUCCAUUAGAUUUGAGUCAUGGAAUGGGAGGUAGCCAGCAAGCAGAACAAAGAGUAUGACACCGCAAGACCAUAUGUCUGCUUUUGCUCCAUCAUAGCCCCUCUUAUUGAUUAUCUCUGGUGCAACAUAUGCAGGUGUGCCACACGUCGUGUGGAGCAGCCCGUCCUGCUUCUGACACUCCUUGAAGGCGCUCAGCCCAAAGUCCGACACUUUGAGGUUGCCAUUCUCG